Molecule: long non-coding RNA, 570 nt
Filed under: Cyanistes caeruleus (blue tit)
Lineage: Eukaryota; Metazoa; Chordata; Aves; Passeriformes; Paridae
Description: lncRNA (ENSCCEG00000004936.1)
Source: RNAcentral
CAAUAAGAUAUUACUGCGUUGUCUUGUUUUAAAGGAAAGCCUGGCAGCCAAAACCACACAAAGAAAUAAGAAGGAGAUUGGGAGGAAUCCCCUAAAUACAGAAGGUCUGUGUUUAUCUCCCAAGUGUGUCUGAGGCAGCAGUUCAGGUCCUGAAUGUCAUAAAGAUGGACUUGAUGCACAGCCUGGGUGAUCUUAUGGUCUUUCACAACAACACAAGCUAUGGAAGCACAACAGCACCUCCCAGACAGGGCCCUGCUGUAGCUCUUCUCCCUGUGGGUCACAGUUGCUCCUGAAGACACUAAGCACGAAAAGCCUUGAACAGUGGAAAGAACAGAUGCUCAGCAGGGAAGAGAGGUCUCAAGCUUUCCACUGCCACAAUUGUAUCUCUGCUGUAAAUCUCAUCUCUGCAAGAAACAAAAAUUAUCUCAGACUCCCACAAGACCAAGAACAAUUUCAAAGUUUUUUGGGGAGUUCCAGUUGUUCCAGUGGCUUCCUGUACCAAUUGCUCUGAACAUUCUAAAGCUGACUUCAGAUGAAAUCACAGAAAGCCCAGAGACCACCACCUUUCAA